This is a ribosomal RNA of Electrophorus electricus (electric eel), 119 nucleotides long. Lineage: Eukaryota; Metazoa; Chordata; Actinopteri; Gymnotiformes; Gymnotidae. The record is from Ensembl.
UCUUACGGCCACACCAGCUUGAGAACGCCGAAUGUCAUCUGACCUUGGAAGCUAAGCAAGUUUGGGACUGGAUAGUACUGAGGUGGGACUCUACCUAGGAAUACUAGGUGCUGUAAGUU